CCGCCAGCACUCUGGCGGGCAUGCCUGUCCGAGCGUCAUUUCACCCCUCGAGCCCCGCCUCGGUGUUGGGGGAGCCACGGCCGCCCGCGCGCGCGCCGCCCCCGAAAUGCAGUGGCGACCCCGCCGCGUCCUCCCCUGCGCAGUAGCUCCCAGAGAACCUCG
RNAcentral lists this unclassified non-coding RNA (162 nucleotides) under Ophiocordyceps coccidiicola. RNAcentral's name for it is "ITS2". Lineage: Eukaryota; Fungi; Ascomycota; Sordariomycetes; Hypocreales; Ophiocordycipitaceae. The record is from RNAcentral.